AUAGGUUUGGUCCCAGCCUUCCUGUUAACUUUCAAUAGACUUAUACAUGCAAGCAUCCACGCCCCGGUGAGUAACGCCCUUCGAAUCACACAGGACUAAAAGGAGCAGGUAUCAAGCACACACUCUUGUAGCUCACAACGCCUUGCUUAACCACACCCCCACGGGAGACAGCAGUAACAAAAAUUAAGCCAUAAACGAAAGUUGGACUAAGCCAUAUUGACCAGGGUUGGUAAAUCUCGUGCCAGCCACCGCGGUCAUACGAUUGACCCAAGCUAACAGGAGUACGGCGUAAAGCGUGUUAAAGCAUCAUACUAAAUAGAGUUAAAUUUUAAUUAAACUGUAAAAAGCCAUAAUUAUAACAAAAAUAAAUGACGAAAGUAACCCUACAAUAGCUGAUACACCAUAGCUAAGACCCAAACUGGGAUUAGAUACCCCACUAUGCUUAGCCCUAAACACAAAUAAUUAU
This 466-nucleotide ribosomal RNA is filed under the name Ovis aries (sheep). Its description in RNAcentral is "partial 12S ribosomal RNA". Lineage: Eukaryota; Metazoa; Chordata; Mammalia; Artiodactyla; Bovidae. The record is from RNAcentral.